RNAcentral lists this ribosomal RNA (793 nucleotides) under Sporormia sp. 799_1_CY06. RNAcentral describes it as "eukaryotic LSU rRNA". It matches the Rfam family "Eukaryotic large subunit ribosomal RNA", at positions 101 to 911 of the family's 3401-position model. Lineage: Eukaryota; Fungi; Ascomycota; Dothideomycetes; Pleosporales; Sporormiaceae. The record is from RNAcentral.
GCAACAGCUCAAAUUUGAAAUCUGGCCCCCUUCGGGGCCCGAGUUGUAAUUUGUAGAGGGUGCUUUGGCGUUGGCUGUGGUCUAAGUUCCUUGGAACAGGACGUCACAGAGGGUGAGAAUCCCGUACGUGGCCGCCAGCCUCCGCCGUGUAAAGCCCCUUCGACGAGUCGAGUUGUUUGGGAAUGCAGCUCUAAAUGGGAGGUAAAUUUCUUCUAAAGCUAAAUAUUGGCCAGAGACCGAUAGCGCACAAGUAGAGUGAUCGAAAGAUGAAAAGCACUUUGGAAAGAGAGUCAAAAAGCACGUGAAAUUGUUGAAAGGGAAGCGCUUGCAGCCAGACUUGCCCGCAGUUGCUCACCCGGGCCCUCGCCCGGGGCACUCUUCUGCGGGCAGGCCAGCAUCAGUCCGGGCGGUCGGACAAAAGCCUGCUAAAUGUACCUCCCCUCGGGGAGGACUUAUAGGGCAGGUGGCAUGCGACCAGCCCGGACUGAGGUCCGCGCUUCGGCUAGGAUGCUGGCGUAAUGGCUGUAAGCGGCCCGUCUUGAAACACGGACCAAGGAGUCUAACAUCUAUGCGAGUGUUUGGGUGUCAAGCCCGAGCGCGUAAUGAAAGUGAACGGAGGUGGGAACCCCUCGGGGCGCACCAUCGACCGAUCCUGAUGUCUUCGGAUGGAUUUGAGUAGGAGCAUAGCUGUUGGGACCCGAAAGAUGGUGAACUAUGCCUGAAUAGGGUGAAGCCAGAGGAAACUCUGGUGGAGGCUCGCAGCGGUUAAAACGUGCAGAUCGAUCGUCAAAUU